RNAcentral lists this ribosomal RNA (253 nucleotides) under uncultured bacterium. RNAcentral's name for it is "partial 16S ribosomal RNA". It matches the Rfam family "Bacterial small subunit ribosomal RNA", at positions 524 to 776 of the family's 1533-position model. The record is from RNAcentral.
UACGUAGGGUCCGAGCGUUGUCCGGAAUUACUGGGCGUAAAGAGCUCGUAGGUGGUUUGUCGCGUUGUUCGUGAAAACUCACAGCUCAACUGUGGGCGUGCGGGCGAUACGGGCAGACUUGAGUACUGCAGGGGAGACUGGAAUUCCUGGUGUAGCGGUGGAAUGCGCAGAUAUCAGGAGGAACACCGGUGGCGAAGGCGGGUCUCUGGGCAGGAACUGACGCUGAGGAGCGAAAGCGUGGGGAGCGAACAGG